RNAcentral lists this ribosomal RNA (515 nucleotides) under uncultured bacterium. Its description in RNAcentral is "partial 16S ribosomal RNA". It matches the Rfam family "Bacterial small subunit ribosomal RNA", at positions 28 to 523 of the family's 1533-position model. The record is from RNAcentral.
GAUGAACGCUGGCGGCGUGCCUAAUACAUGCAAGUCGAGCGAAUGGAUUAAGAGCUUGCUCUUAUGAAGUUAGCGGCGGACGGGUGAGUAACACGUGGGUAACCUGCCCAUAAGACUGGGAUGACUCCGGGAAACCGGGGCUAAUACCGGAUAACAUUUUGAACCGCAUGGUUCGAAAUUGAAAGGCGGCUUCGGCUGUCACUUAUGGAUGGACCCGCGUCGCAUUAGCUAGUUGGUGAGGUAACGGCUCACCAAGGCAACGAUGCGUAGCCGACCUGAGAGGGGGAUCGGCCAAACUGGGACUGAGACACGGCCCAGACUCCUACGGGAGGCAGCAGUAGGGAAUCUUCCGCAAUGGACGAAAGUCUGACGGAGCAACGCCGCGUGAGUGAUGAAGGCUUUCGGGUCGUAAAACUCUGUUGUUAGGGAAGAACAAGUGCUAGUUGAAUAAGCUGGCACCUUGACGGUACCUAACCAGAAAGCCACGGCUAACUACGUGCCAGCCGCCGCAGUAA